UAUUUUCAGUGGCGAGCUUAACCGAAUAGGGGAGGCGUAGCGAAAGCGAGUCUUAAUAGGGCGAAUGAGUUUGUGGGAUCAGACCCGAAACCGAGUGAUCUAGGCAUGACCAGGAUGAAGGUAAGGUAACACUUACUGGAGGUCCGAACCCACACCUGUUGAAAAAGGUCGGGAUGAGUUGUGCCUAGGGGUGAAAGGCCAAUCAAACUCGGAGAUAGCUGGUUCUCCGCGAAAUCUAUUUAGGUAGAGCGUCACGUGAAUACCCUCGGGGGUAGAGCACUGGAUGGGCUAGGGGGACUCACCGUCUUACCAAACCUAACCAAACUCCGAAUACCGAUGAGUAAUAUCUGGCAGACACACUACGGGUGCUAAGGUCCGUAGUGGAAAGGGAAACAGCCCUGACCGCCAGCUAAGGUCCCUAAGUUAUGGCUAAGUGGGAAAGGAUGUGAGAGUGCAUAGACAACCAGGAUGUUGGCUUAGAAGCAGCCAUCAUUUAAAGAAAGCGUAACAGCUCACUGGUCAAGCGCUCUUGCGCCGAAAAUGUACCGGGGCUAAAGCCAUACACCGAAGCUGCGGAUGCACAUUUAUGUGCGUGGUAGCGGAGCGUUCUGUAAGCCUGUGAAGGGUGACCCGCGAGGGCACCUGGAGAUAUCGGAAGUGAGAAUGCUGACAUGAGUAGCGACAAAGA
RNAcentral lists this ribosomal RNA (688 nucleotides) under Isochrysis galbana. RNAcentral's name for it is "partial Bacterial large subunit ribosomal RNA". It matches the Rfam family "Bacterial large subunit ribosomal RNA", at positions 629 to 1318 of the family's 2925-position model. The record is from RNAcentral. Lineage: Eukaryota; Haptophyta; Isochrysidales; Isochrysidaceae.